UACGAAGGGGGCUAGCGUUGCUCGGAAUCACUGGGCGUAAAGCGCACGUAGGCGGCUUCUUAAGUCAGGGGUGAAAUCCUGGAGCUCAACUCCAGAACUGCCUUUGAUACUGAGGAGCUUGAGUCCGGGAGAGGGAUGCAGAAUUCCAGGUGUAGCGGUGAAAUGCGUAGAUAUCUGGAGGAAUACCGGUGGCGAAGGCGGCAUCCUGGACCGGCAUUGACGCUGAGGAGCGAAAGCUAGGGGAGCAAACGGG
This 253-nucleotide ribosomal RNA is filed under the name uncultured bacterium. RNAcentral describes it as "partial 16S ribosomal RNA". It matches the Rfam family "Bacterial small subunit ribosomal RNA", at positions 524 to 776 of the family's 1533-position model. The record is from RNAcentral.